UAGGGAAUCUUCGGCAAUGGACGAAAGUCUGACCGAGCAACGCCGCGUGAGUGAAGAAGGUUUUCGGAUCGUAAAACUCUGUUGUUAGAGAAGAACAAGGAUGAGAAGAGAAUGUUCAUCCCUUGACGGUAUCUAACCAGAAAGCCACGGCUAACUACGUGCCAG
This 165-nucleotide ribosomal RNA is filed under the name uncultured bacterium. Its description in RNAcentral is "partial 16S rRNA". It matches the Rfam family "Bacterial small subunit ribosomal RNA", at positions 355 to 511 of the family's 1533-position model. The record is from RNAcentral.